Molecule: long non-coding RNA, 583 nt
Organism: Esox lucius (northern pike)
Lineage: Eukaryota; Metazoa; Chordata; Actinopteri; Esociformes; Esocidae
Source: Ensembl
CUCUUCUUCUGACAGACUGCAGUGAACGAGAGGGAGAGAGAGUGAGACAGGGAGAAAAAGAGAGAUUUAAAAGACAGGGAAGAGUAAAGAGACCAGAGAGGGAGAGAGAGCGAGAGAGAGAGAGAGAGAGAGAGUGAGAAAGAGAGAGAGGGGGAAGAGACCAGGCAGUGGAGGGAGCAGAGACAGAGCAUGCUGACAGAGGAAGUUCAGUGUGCUCUGCAGCCUGAGGAACAUGUGCUCAGCAAUUAACUGCGGCUUGUCGCGCCCUGGGAAGGUGUCUGCAACCCCGGGCUCUUGCCUGCGCAGCUGUCGGUGUUUGGAGCUACAAGGAGCGCAGUGAGGAGACGCGAACCUGGAUACAGAAAACCACGAGCUAAGCUAGAGCAGAGUAAACAGGAGCUCCUGGCAUGAACACAAUGACUACACAGACAAGAACAACUGUCUUACAGAAUGAAGACCACAACUACGAAGAUGGGGACUAUUCCAAGCAGCAGAACAGUUAACAUGGAUCCUUCAUCCGUAUCAAAGAGGACGGCCCUCGUCCAUCUUCCGGCCCCCUCCCACUCCGUCUGAUGUGCGUGUC